AUUGAACGCUGGCGGCAUGCCUUACACAUGCAAGUCGAACGGUAACAGGUUUUCGGCUGCUGACUAGUGGCGGCCGGUUGAGUAAUACAUAGGAAUGUGCCCGAUCGUGGUGGAUCACGGGGGGUAAGGUUUGCUAACAUCGCCUACGACCUCCGACUGAAUACGGGUGAUAUCCGGACCUCUUCCGGCCGUACCGGCCUGUGGCAGAUUAGGUAGUUGGAGGGAUAAAGGCGUACCAAGCCGACGAUCUGUAGCUGGUCUGAGAGGAUGAUCAGCCACACUGGGACUGAGACACGGCCCAGACUCCUACGGGAGGCAGCAGUGGGGAAUAUUGGACAAUGGGCAAAAGCCUGAUCCAGCCAUGCCGCGUGGAGGAUGAAGGCCUUCGGGUUGUAAACUGCUUUUGUAGGGAACGAAAAGCAGCUGUCUAAUAAAGAGCGGUCAUGACGGUACCGAAAGAAUAAGCACCGGCUAACUUCGUG
Molecule: ribosomal RNA, 482 nt
Filed under: uncultured bacterium
Lineage: Bacteria
Description: partial 16S ribosomal RNA
Rfam family: Bacterial small subunit ribosomal RNA
Source: RNAcentral